GUGGAUUAGAUACCCUGGUAGUCCACGCCCUAAACGAUGUGUGCUAGUUGCUGGGAAUUUCAUUCUCGGUGACGCAGCUAACGCCUUAAGCACACCGCCUGGGGAGUACGGUCGCAAGAUUAAAACUCAAAGGAAUUGACGGGGGCCCGCACAAGCGGUGGAGUAUGUUCUUUAAUUCGACGCAACGCGAAAAACCUUACCUACACUUGACAUGUCCGGACGAUUAUCAGAGAUGAUUUUCUUCCCGCAAGGGACUGGAACACAGGUGCUGCAUGGCCGUCGUCAGCU
This 288-nucleotide ribosomal RNA is filed under the name uncultured bacterium. RNAcentral's name for it is "partial 16S ribosomal RNA". It matches the Rfam family "Bacterial small subunit ribosomal RNA", at positions 773 to 1060 of the family's 1533-position model. The record is from RNAcentral.